RNAcentral lists this long non-coding RNA (208 nucleotides) under Elaeis guineensis (African oil palm). RNAcentral describes it as "long non-coding RNA (EGUI_LNC072453)". Lineage: Eukaryota; Viridiplantae; Streptophyta; Magnoliopsida; Arecales; Arecaceae. The record is from RNAcentral.
CUAAGUUAGCAAGUAAGCGUCCUCUCAUGGUCACGUGCAAGGCACGUGCCAAAUGGUAGUUCCAGAGAAGUCCUCCCAAUCGCGAGGCGACCAAAGUAUAAAGAGAGGCAGCGAUAGCCGACAGGGCUCGGAGUCAGCGAGCGAGAGAGGCCUUUGGAUCGAGGGACGAGAGUGAGAGAGAGAGAGAGAGAGAGAGAGAGAGAGAGAG